RNAcentral lists this ribosomal RNA (879 nucleotides) under uncultured bacterium. RNAcentral describes it as "bacterial SSU rRNA". It matches the Rfam family "Bacterial small subunit ribosomal RNA", at positions 51 to 896 of the family's 1533-position model. The record is from RNAcentral.
AUACAUGCAAGUCGAACGAAGCUUUCUUUCAUCGAAUGCUUGCAUUCACCGAAAGAAGUUUAGUGGCGAACGGGUGGAGUAACACGUAGGCAACCUGCCCAAAAGAGGGGGAUAACACUUGGAAACAGGUGCUAAUACCGCAUAACCAUGAACACCGCAUGAUGUUCAUGUGAAAGACGGCUUUUGCUGUCACUUUUGGAUGGGCCUGCGGCGUAUUAACUUGUUGGUGGGGUAACGGCCUACCAAGGUGAUGAUACGUAGCCGAACUGAGAGGUUGAUCGGCCACAUUGGGACUGAGACACGGCCCAAACUCCUACGGGAGGCAGCAGUAGGGAAUCUUCCACAAUGGACGAAAGUCUGAUGGAGCAACGCCGCGUGAAUGAAGAAGGCCUUCGGGUCGUAAAAUUCUGUUGUCAGAGAAGAACGUGCGUGAGAGUAACUGUUCACGUAUUGACGGUAUCUGACCAGAAAGCCACGGCUAACUACGUGCCAGCAGCCGCGGUAAUACGUAGGUGGCGAGCGUUGUCCGGAUUUAUUGGGCGUAAAGGGAACGCAGGCGGUCUUUUAAGUCUGAUGUGAAAGCCUUCGGCUUAACCGAAGUAGUGCAUUGGAAACUGGAAGACUUGAGUGCAGAAGAGGAGAGUGGAACUCCAUGUGUAGCGGUGAAAUGCGUAGAUAUAUGGAAGAACACCAGUGGCGAAAGCGGCUCUCUGGUCUGUAACUGACGCUGAGGUUCGAAAGCGUGGGUAGCAAACAGGAUUAGAUACCCUGGUAGUCCACGCCGUAAACGAUGAGUGCUAAGUGUUGGAGGGUUUCCGCCCUUCAGUGCUGCAGCUAACGCAUUAAGCACUCCGCCUGGGGAGUACGGUCGCAAGACUG